RNAcentral lists this ribosomal RNA (597 nucleotides) under uncultured bacterium. RNAcentral's name for it is "bacterial SSU rRNA". It matches the Rfam family "Bacterial small subunit ribosomal RNA", at positions 8 to 589 of the family's 1533-position model. The record is from RNAcentral.
AGAGUUUGAUCCUGGCUCAGGAUGAACGCUAGCGACAGGCCUAACACAUGCAAGUCGAGGGGCAUCGGGGCGAGGAGCAAUCCUUGCCGCCGGCGACCGGCGCACGGGUGAGUAACGCGUAUGCGACCUGCCCGUUGCAGGGGGAUAAUCGGGAGAAAUCCCGUCUAAUACCGCGUAAUGCCGCGGGGCUGCAUGGCCCUGGGGCCAAAGGAAGCGAUUCCGGCAACGGAUGGGCAUGCGUGACAUUAGCUAGUUGGCGGGGCAACGGCCCACCAAGGCGACGAUGUCUAGGGGUUCUGAGAGGAAGGUCCCCCACACUGGUACUGAGACACGGACCAGACUCCUACGGGAGGCAGCAGUGAGGAAUAUUGGUCAAUGGGCGCGAGCCUGAACCAGCCAAGUCGCGUGAGGGAUGACGGCCCUACGGGUUGUAAACCUCUUUUGUCGGGGAGCAAAUUCCGCCACGCGUGGCGGAGUCGAGAGUACCCGAAGAAAAAGCAUCGGCUAACUCCGUGCCAGCAGCCGCGGUAAUACGGAGGAUGCGAGCGUUAUCCGGAUUUAUUGGGUUUAAAGGGUGCGUAGGCGGACUGUCAAGUC